Molecule: long non-coding RNA, 1040 nt
Filed under: Homo sapiens (human)
Lineage: Eukaryota; Metazoa; Chordata; Mammalia; Primates; Hominidae
Description: long independently transcribed non-coding RNA 1643, transcript variant 20 (LINC01643)
Source: RNAcentral
AGAAACAGGCAGCCUGACUAGAGAACAAACUACCAAUUAACGAGCGAGGAAACAGGGCCAGAGAAUUGGAACAAAAUACAAGGCUGCCUCUGAAAGGAAUAUCUUUGUGCUGAUGUGUCCAUCAAGAGAACAUACACAGAAGUGACACUUGCCAGUAAUUUGCAAGCAGAUGGAACUUCAAUAUGGCAAUAGAGAAAGAAUCAAUUAGACCAGAGUCUCCUCAGGAAGACUUUCUAUAGAUAUCUGGUGAGCAUCUGCUAGAUGCCAGGGUUGGGGAGAGUCAAGUUGAAGCAAGCAUGAACCCUCAAGGACCUACCAUUUCAAGGCAAGAAAUAGAUACAAAUACAGAAAAUAUUUACUGGAUAGCUACUAGACAUAAGGAUGCAGAAAUGAAUUAGAAAAAUUCCUCGCCCUUGUUCAAAGCUAUGCUGGCUCUUAGAACAUCUGAGCCCCCACUGUUUCAUCUUUAGAGGAUCCCAGCUGCUGGGGUGUGAGGCCAGUGCUGGAGCCAGCAGUCUCUGACCCAGAAGGGACCUGAGGUGCUAAAGAAAACAGGCUUGCUUUGCCUAUUCAUACUUAUUACCUAAUAAAUGCAAAAUGGUUGCUGAAGCUCCAGAUGCCACAUCUGUGUCCAAGGGGGGUACAAGCUGGAAAAGGGGAAAAUGAAUCAUGCUACAGGCCAAGUGUCCAUCACUGAUUCCCAGAGAUGCCCUUUGUGUGGUAGGCACUUCCAUGUGGACUCGCUACAGAGGUCAUAAGACCCUAAUUCCAGAGGGCCCUACCCUAUAACCAGAAGGAAGAACUAUUGCACAGAGAAUCUAAGAAGAAUCUAGACAGACAGCCCUUGCUGGAUUUCUCCACUCUGUUAGCAUUCGAUCAUUUGCCUUUUGUCCAGUCAUAUUUCUGCAUGGCUGUCCAUACUUUGUUGAACCUAAGCACAAAAUGGAAAGUUUUCCCUGUAUCUUUGGGUCGUCAUUCUGAAGGCUCCCAUGUUAUGUAAAACUAUGAUCAAAUAAAUAUGCAUGCCUUUUCUCCUAUAA